Molecule: long non-coding RNA, 310 nt
Filed under: Daucus carota (carrot)
Lineage: Eukaryota; Viridiplantae; Streptophyta; Magnoliopsida; Apiales; Apiaceae
Description: long non-coding RNA (DCAR_LNC007056)
Source: RNAcentral
CAUAUAUUAUAUAAAUUAUAUAUAUCUUACUUAAAGUUAUAAUGAUAAUAUUUAAUUUGUAAAUUUAAUUAUUUAUAUUUUUGGUGAAAUGGUGGUGAUGAAUUAAUAUUAAUCUAUUUAAUAAAUCAUAUAUUUUAGCUUUAUUUAUAAUAUAAAUUAUUGUUUUUCAAAAUAAUUUCGUUUCUUCUCGGACGGACCAAACCAAAUUAUUUCGGUUCGUUCUAUAAUAAUAUUUCGGUCCGGUUCAAUCGGGAAAAAAUUAAAGUUCGGUUCUCGGUCUAUUGAGUCCGGUCCAGUUUAGGACCGAAAN